UACGAAGGGGGCUAGCGUUGCUCGGAAUCACUGGGCGUAAAGCGCACGUAGGCGGAUUGUUAAGUCAGGGGUGAAAUCCUGGAGCUCAACUCCAGAACUGCCUUUGAUACUGGCGACCUAGAGUCCGGGAGAGGUGAGUGGAACUGCGAGUGUAGAGGUGAAAUUCGUAGAUAUUCGCAAGAACACCAGUGGCGAAGGCGGCUCACUGGCCCGGUACUGACGCUGAGGUGCGAAAGCGUGGGGAGCAAACAGG
RNAcentral lists this ribosomal RNA (253 nucleotides) under uncultured bacterium. RNAcentral describes it as "partial 16S ribosomal RNA". It matches the Rfam family "Bacterial small subunit ribosomal RNA", at positions 524 to 776 of the family's 1533-position model. The record is from RNAcentral.